This 1659-nucleotide long non-coding RNA is filed under the name Medicago truncatula (barrel medic). RNAcentral describes it as "lncRNA gene730". Lineage: Eukaryota; Viridiplantae; Streptophyta; Magnoliopsida; Fabales; Fabaceae. The record is from RNAcentral.
UUGUUACAACACCUCCUGGUCACUCUAAUGUCUUUUAUCUAUUUCUUUUCUUACCAAUCAAAAUCAUGUUUCGUUUCAUUCCUAGAAAUUUUGUGGUUAUUGCUUUGAAGAGUUGUUUUGCUUUAUUGAAGGUUAAAGCCAUAAAGUACAUUGAAUUAUUAUAAACAAUAGUGUUUUUGCAAGUGAACUUGAUAAGUGAAAGUUGUUUGGUGCAUGUUGCUAUACUUUACUUGUGUUCUCAUUUCUUAUGCGCUUUGGGGUUCACCACCGUUCAAAGGGGUAGUGACUUCAUAUUUUGAUAGUUAGGCCAAUAAUUGAUGGCCACUGGCCAAUUCCUUUCUAAGAAAGCACAUCUUUCAUCUUUCAAACGUGGAACAGACAAAUCUAUCUCGAUCUAUAAUAGGGAUGAAUUUAGAAAUUUAUAAAACAAUGUAGAAUGAAUUUAAUGUCCGAGAUUGUUGGCCUUUUAAAUAGAGUUUAAAAGGUCAUACAUAUUAAUAUUAUAUCUCAUGGGUCUAUAAAUGUUGCGCUCACGAGGAUUAAUUGUACCAUCCAAAAAGACUUAGCGGCGCAACUUGUUCCGCUUUGCCUCCCACUCAUGUGUGAUAUGUUAAAAAUAUUGUUAUUUAAUUAUAUUUUUCAUACAAUUUAUUUUUUUACAAAUAUAUAUCAUGGACAUAAUGAUCUACCCAAACCAACUCAUUCAUCAAUGGAUUGGGUUAGUUUAAAGUAAAAAAUACGUUAAUUCUCUCCCCUCCCCAUCCCUUUAACGCACCCAUCACAUUUUAAAUUUUGCUUCUGUUCAAAUUUUAAAAUCUAAACCAUAAAAGUAUGCUUGAAAUUCUAGAAUCAAACCACGAAUAUAUAAGAAACAUGCUCAUCAUGGCCCCUUACUUCUUUAUUUAUGUUUUUCAACCUAAACGCUCCCAAACCCCCCAAUUCAAAAUUUCACCACUUUGUGUCAUUUUUCAACUUAAGUUGCCCGACCAUCACAUUUUAGAUGUUUUCAACUACUACACAAGAUGUUAGAACACAUUUGCUUAAAUUUAUGGUGGUUGAUUUACGUUUUUUCUUUGUUUCUAAAGUUUUGGUUUAGUUCAGACUUUAGAAUCCGCAAUGUUGUGUUCAUCAUUUCGGUUUAUAAAAUCUGAAAUAUGUUUAGGGAUCAUUAAUUUCUCUAUGAUUUUGUCAUCGUUUCAUAUAUGGAUGCACCUGCCAAUCGAGCCAAGGGUAAUAAGAUAUCCAUGAAUGCCUUUAUAAGGCAGAGCGCGAGAAGAAGUGCAAAGUUGAGAAAGGUGGGCCCUUUUACGAGCCAGUGACACAAUCGGUCCCUACAUCAGCCAGAGCCUAAGCAUGUACCUGAGCUUGAACAAGACCUAUCGGUAUAGGAUGAAGCAGUUGACUAGUUACAUGACAUUACUCCCGCUGGCUAAAACGUAGAUAUAUUCCAAUACUUUCAGGGUGUUGGCGCCAAGGAUUACGAGUAUAGGUACAGGGAAAACCGAGACAUGCAUGCUGAUAUUUUCAGUCUACUUAAGGGUUCGCAGUACACUGCGGUUCGCAAUACAAGAUUUUGACUGGUUAUUAUGAAUAGCAAAACUACCGAAGUAAAUCAAAUGUUUAGUUAUUUUACUUGAUGGUAAAAUUACUUCAGAGGUC